Molecule: long non-coding RNA, 270 nt
Organism: Biomphalaria glabrata
Lineage: Eukaryota; Metazoa; Mollusca; Gastropoda; Planorbidae
Exons: 3
Source: RefSeq, a predicted model, not a curated record
AUUAAACAGCUGAUUUGGUGUCUUAUUGUUUAUGCAUAGAAUUUUGUUAUUAUUUGUUCAUGUUAAUCAACAAGCUGGAACAGGUUUUCAAAGGGAGAGCAUCGCUGCCUUUGUUCCAACCAAAUGUAGGCCACGGCCUAACAAGAGUCAGAGAUGAAUGUUAUUAGAUAACUUUUUGCCAUGUAACCGAUGCCAUCAUCACAACAUUCAUGAACAAACACAGGCUGCAACACUUGGACAUGAAUAAACACAGGCUGCAACACUUGGACA